UGUUGAUCCUGGCUCAGGAUGAACGCUAGCGGCAGGCUUAACACAUGCAAGUCGAGGGGUAUAGUUCUUCGGAAUUAGAGACCGGCGCACGGGUGCGUAACGCGUAUGCAAUCUACCUUUUACAGAGGGAUAGCCCAGAGAAAUUUGGAUUAAUACCUCAUAGUAUAAUGACUUGGCAUCAAGACAUUAUUAAAGUCACAACGGUAAAAGAUGAGCAUGCGUCCCAUUAGCUAGUUGGUAAGGUAACGGCUUACCAAGGCUACGAUGGGUAGGGGUCCUGAGAGGGAGAUCCCCCACACUGGUACUGAGACACGGACCAGACUCCUACGGGAGGCAGCAGUGAGGAAUAUUGGACAAUGGGCGCAAGCCUGAUCCAGCCAUGCCGCGUGCAGGAUGACGGUCCUAUGGAUUGUAAACUGCUUUUAUACGAGAAGAAACACUACUUCGUGAAGUAGCUUGACGGUAUCGUAAG
RNAcentral lists this ribosomal RNA (472 nucleotides) under Flavobacterium sp. WB4.4-30. Its description in RNAcentral is "bacterial SSU rRNA". It matches the Rfam family "Bacterial small subunit ribosomal RNA", at positions 10 to 484 of the family's 1533-position model. Lineage: Bacteria; Pseudomonadati; Bacteroidota; Flavobacteriia; Flavobacteriales; Flavobacteriaceae. The record is from RNAcentral.